UUUUCUCGGCGAAAAGACGUGCAAUGUGAAUAUUGCUUGAUGUUGGAGUAAACGGGCAGGGCUUUCACUCUUCACAGAGCAUGUCCUUAAAAAAAUACUGUAUUACGCGUAUACAUAUCACCUGAAAUGUCUACAUUGUACGAUUAUCUUUUGCUCACCGAUAAGUAAUUUAGCAUGCACAACAUUUUUUAUUGAUCUUAUAUUACCAUCUUUCGC
This 216-nucleotide long non-coding RNA is filed under the name Setaria viridis. Its description in RNAcentral is "long non-coding RNA (SVIR_LNC007539)". Lineage: Eukaryota; Viridiplantae; Streptophyta; Magnoliopsida; Poales; Poaceae. The record is from RNAcentral.